RNAcentral lists this ribosomal RNA (216 nucleotides) under uncultured bacterium. Its description in RNAcentral is "partial 16S ribosomal RNA". It matches the Rfam family "Bacterial small subunit ribosomal RNA", at positions 1285 to 1500 of the family's 1533-position model. The record is from RNAcentral.
GUCCCAGUUCGGAUUGCAGUCUGCAACUCGACUGCAUGAAGCUGGAAUCGCUAGUAAUCGCGAAUCAGCAUGUCGCGGUGAAUACGUUCCCGGGUCUUGUACACACCGCCCGUCACACCAUGGGAGUCAGCAACGCCCGAAGUCAGUGACCUAACCGAAAGGGAGGAGCUGCCGAAGGCGGGGCCGGUAACUGGGGUGAAGUCGUAACAAGGUAUC